This 497-nucleotide ribosomal RNA is filed under the name uncultured bacterium. RNAcentral's name for it is "partial 16S ribosomal RNA". It matches the Rfam family "Bacterial small subunit ribosomal RNA", at positions 28 to 507 of the family's 1533-position model. The record is from RNAcentral.
GAUGAACGCUGGCGGCGUGCCUAAUACAUGCAAGUCGAGCGAACAGAUGAGGAGCUUGCUCCUCUGACGUUAGCGGCGGACGGGUGAGUAACACGUGGAUAACCUACCUAUAAGACUGGGAUAACUUCGGGAAACCGGAGCUAAUACCGGAUAAUAUAUUGAACCGCAUGGUUCAAUAGUGAAAGACGGUUUUGCUGUCACUUAUAGAUGGAUCCGCGCCGCAUUAGCUAGUUGGUAAGGUAACGGCUUACCAAGGCAACGAUGCGUAGCCGACCUGAGAGGGUGAUCGGCCACACGGGAACUGAGACACGGUCCAGACUCCUACGGGAGGCAGCAGUAGGGAAUCUUCCGCAAUGGGCGAAAGCCUGACGGAGCAACGCCGCGUGAGUGAUGAAGGUCUUCAGAUCGUAAAACUCUGUUAUUAGGGAAGAACAAAUGUGUAAGUAACUAUGCACGUCUUGACGGUACCUAAUCAGAAAGCCACGGCUAACUACGUG